Poeciliopsis prolifica (blackstripe livebearer) is the source of this 889-nucleotide long non-coding RNA. RefSeq lists it as uncharacterized. The transcript has 4 exons. The record is from RefSeq and is a predicted model, not a curated record. Lineage: Eukaryota; Metazoa; Chordata; Actinopteri; Cyprinodontiformes; Poeciliidae.
GUCGAUCUGGUUUGAACCGAUUCGCCAUGUGGGUUCAAAUGAAAGAGGCACGCUGCUCUGAUAAAGCAGAUGCUACUAAUUACAAGAAACUUGCCUCGGGAGUAAGAAAAAAGCUUGGUACCAGUCACGGUGGAUUGCGUUGAAUGGAUGAGGCGUCCCGUCGGUUUAAAUUGGAGUUCAAGAGUCGGGAAGCGAAAGGAAAAAUCUUGUGAAGAUUCAAAGGCUCGGCUCCGCAGACUUGAACUGAAACGUCUUCGUCUCUAAAGGCAGAAGAUGGAAGCUGUGGAAUGAGAUGUUUUUAGUUCAACAACUAAAAAUCACUCCCAGGUGGGACAGUCUUGUUGCAGACAAACAAGCUCAACAAGUCUUGCUCGGUUCGCAGUUAUAAAAAGGUUGGGGGCCACUCUACUAGAGUAUUGGAAUGCUACGACAAAAGUAGCAUUUGAAAAGUAACUUUUAUUGCAUCUUGUUGCUCAGAUUUUUUUUUUUUUUUUUUUGCAAAAAUAUAUUAAGAUGCUUUAUUUUGUCUGAACAGAACAAUGUUAUUUUUUUCUUUUAGAUAUAAAAACAAUUAUGACUUUCAACCAAACCUUAACCAUGUCAGUAUCUUAUCGUAUUUUUUAGUAGUAGUAUUUUGAGUGAAAACAAUUGGACAAAAUAAUUAUCUCCCAUUUAAGAGUAUUGAUAAAGAAUGUUGUUUUUUUGUUUCUGUAACUAGAUCCUGUUUGAAGGUAACUUUGUUUUUCAGGAUUCAUCAAUAUUUUCUUUCUUUCUGGUUUAGAGACUCCCUUUAUCUGAAAAUAUAAAAAAUAAUCUGUAACCAACUUGAAACCUCAAAAUGCUUUGGUUGGUUUAAUUAUAACUGAAAUAAAACUGAAUAACUUAAAAA